Molecule: RNA transcript, 3287 nt
Organism: Crotalus tigris (Tiger rattlesnake)
Lineage: Eukaryota; Metazoa; Chordata; Lepidosauria; Squamata; Viperidae
Gene: RNF152
Gene name: ring finger protein 152
Exons: 3
Source: RefSeq, a predicted model, not a curated record
CUGCUACCCCGCCACCCACCGCUUGGUCUUCAAUUAGCCGCCGACGGUGGAGCAGGCAAGGCGCGCAAGGCUGCAGGCUGCGAGGAUGGGGAGGAGCAAUGCAGAACAAAGCUCUGUCACAACUGUGCUUCAUGCUUGUCGCCUCCUGCCUGCAAGCAGCUGAACGUUUCCCGCUCGAUAUCAGGCAGAAAGGGAUGGAUGAGACACAAUGAGAGAUUCAGUACACAACUUGACUAGCACUGAAGAUGCUACUUAGUUGGCAAGAAAUGUCUGCAAGAAAACAACCAAGAUCAGAGAGCACCCAGGACCCCACAACUGGUUAUAUUUCUGAAUCCAUAACUGCAAAGCCUGAAGACAUUCAGAAUCUCUCCUCUUGCUGCCCUUUUUCUCUGAAGAAAAACUGCUUUAUUCAUUGCAAAAGAAAAGCUUCAAAAGGCACCAAAAUGAUAUUGAAGAUUGAAUUUUAAAAUCACUUUAAAUCUGCACUUUCCAAAGUGUGUGUUAUGAUGCCCCGGGGUGCUGCAGCAAACUCACAUGAGUGCUACGGCAAAUUUAAAAUGUUACCCCAUGUGAACUGCUAGCUUGAGGUAGUACAUAAUUUUGGCCUAGGAGUGCUGGAAAAAAUUCCCGAGACACUCAGGGCACCAUGAAUCAAGUCAUUGUGGGAACCUCUGCUGUAUGUGUUUUAUUGAAAUUAUGUAUUAAUAAUUUCAAUGCAUUUUAAAGUAUCUCUGAAUUAAGGUAGUGGCUUAUAGUAUUUGGUAGCAUUAUGUACGUGUGCAUGCACGCAUAAUGUGCAUACUCUCAUGCAUAAGCACACACAUACAGAGAUAAUCUGCAUAUUUAUUUACUUUUGCUGCCUAAGAUUUACAUGUAUAUGCUGCUCUAAUCUAAGAGUAGCGAGCUGGGCUAUAGAGGUACUGAAAUUGUGCUAAAUUUAGAUUUGCCGUGCCUUUUAUGGCCACUGGACCAUAAAAUACCCUACUAGGGAUUUGAUAGAAACUGUUUUUAUUUAUCUUUGUUCUAAGAUUCUUGAAUUAUUUUAAAUAACUCAGGGUUUGCCCUGCCCGAACCAUUGAAAGACAAACAAACAAAAUUAAAAUAGUAGUCUAUUAGAAGGAGAUGCUAAAACAGGCCUUCUACAGAAAUAUAUUAGACAUAAACAAAUGGUGGAUGGCUACUUUUUUUUUUUUUUUGCACGAGUCCAUGUGGCAAACUUCUCUACUACCAAAACCCAAACUACUGUAGAAUAUUUUGACUUAAUAUACUACAAGCUGUUUUAGGAGGAAGAUGCUCUUCUCCUGUGUUUUCUUCCACUUUUAUUGCCUGAAAUCCAUUCUGUUGGCUUACUGUGCUACCUGUUUAGAUAUAACCUGUAUUUCCGUUUUGUAAUGUUUGUAACUAUUUUGUACAUCACUUUUUCCCCAAGAGUGUUUUGUGUGUGUGUGUGUGUGUGUACAUGCAGAUACCCACACUCACACCAUCUUUACCAAAAGAACUGGAAUCACUUUAGCAUUCACUUAGUAGUAUCGUAAUGAUCUCACCUUCUCCAUGUCUUGGUUUUGUGUUUUAUUGUAGAUCUAUUGUGGUGGACUGAUCAAAACAAUCUAAAUAUUUCUUUGGCAAUGCAAACAACAUCAAAAAUAAUAUAUUAAAGCUUAGUAAUCCCUCCUGCUUUCACAGUGACUAUUCAGAAGUUUAUGUCAUUAUUUUCUAGGAUGUUACCAAUGUGGUAACGCCCCAGGGUAAUCCUGCAACCCCAUUCCAUUAAGAAUUGUUUUCUUAAAUAUCUCAAGAGUUAUUUCCAAAAUGUUAGCUACAACUUUGAUCACCCUUUUGCUUUUAAUGUUUUAAUUGAUAUUUUAUUCUUCAGUAACUGCAUUUGAAGAAAUAUGUUUCUUAUAUAAAUGUGCAUGUCCAUCCAUUUGCAAUGUAACUCCUGCAGACUAAUAAAGGAUUAGAAUAUAAGAAAUGUGAUAUGAUUCAUACAAAUGCAUCAUAUAUUUUUACAUUACAUUACAUUACAACCCCUAACCCUCUCUCAACAGCAUCACGUAGAUUUGAAUAGGAGAAGGGAAAGAAUACAAGGCAUAGCAAGGAUUGCAGUAAUCAGAGAAUUGUUUGGGAUGGAUGUUAGCAUCCCUCAAAUCCUGAUCACAUCACCACAGCAAUAAGACAAAAAACAGAUCCACUGGUAUAACUCACAACGAGUGUUUGACCUUCAUUAAUUUCUAUGUCAACCUCUCAGAGUCUCUUCAAUAGUGAGAUGGGCAUGGUAUAAAUUUGAUUAACAAAAACAAAUAAUCUGGAUCAGGCCCAUGGUGGCCAUGAAUUCCCACACUGCUUCAUUCUUCACACUCAAAAAAUGAGGUUGAAAUUUCCCACUAUUAUAAGGCUGAAAAACUCUACCAACAAUCUAAACACAGAAUUAAGCUGCUUGGGCUUUUGUGGUACAGUUCAGACAUGAUGCUUGUGACGUUCUGGAAAAGUUGCUGUUAGGUCUGUUACUAUUACUUAACCACUUCCCAUACUGUUACCAACAAUGGGCUUCCCUAUUUGACUUGUAUGGUGCACAAGUUAUGCUUCCAUAGCAUUUCCCAAACAUUAAAAAAGAGAAGUUAAAUAGAAUUAGCAUGACUGUGAUGAUCUUUCUAUUUGAUCAUUAUCUAGACAGAAAAGAAUAUGAUGAUCAGAACAGAAGGAAAAAAUCAUGAAACUGAUCCUGUCCAGAGUAUCAUUCCAUUCAAGUCCUCCUUUACAAGAUAAUGUAGAGGACUUCAUGCCAUUAUCAUAACAAUAGAACUGCUGGUUUCAUUGCCCAAGGAUUGCUUUGGGCAUGAGUCAAAAUGUUGCAUGAAUCAAAAUGUUGCUGUAUUAUUAAACGUAUGUUUUGGUGCCUUGUCCAAACCCAAGCAGUAUCUGGCUAAACCAGUUGGGAUACAAUUCCUAGAAUAUCCAGCAAGCAAAGCCAUGCCAAAGAAUGAGAUUGGAGAAGUCUGUUCUAAUCCAUUUCAGUGAGUUCUUACACUAUACCUAAGGUGUACUGUGCAUAUGGGGAUUUGCAUUAAAAUGCAACAGAAGAUCAUACAAUGCAUAUAUGAGAAUGACAUGUGAUAACUUGCAACAUAUUGAUUGAGAAGUUGCUUAAAUGUGUCUUCUUCUACUUGCCUUGUAUCAUUCAGUACUUUGUUAAACAAAUUAUGGAGCUGCUUCUUAAAGCUCAUAAUAAUUAAUCACUCUUCUCUCUUUUUUUCCUGCAAGCAAAUAGUAUUUUUUUACUGGCUGAA